This 341-nucleotide unclassified non-coding RNA is filed under the name soil metagenome. RNAcentral describes it as "partial contains 5.8S ribosomal RNA, internal transcribed spacer 2, and large subunit ribosomal RNA". The stretch from base 1 to 120 matches the Rfam family "5.8S ribosomal RNA", at positions 35 to 154 of the family's 154-position model. The record is from RNAcentral.
GAUGAAGAACGUAGUGAAAUGCGAUAAGUAAUGUGAAUUGCAGAAUUCAGUGAAUCAUCGAAUCUUUGAACGCACAUUGCGCCCGCCAGCAUUCUGGCGGGCAUGCCUGUUCGAGCGUCAUUUCAACCCUCGAGCCCCCCCGGGGGCCUCGGUGUUGGGGGACGGCACACCAGCCGCCCCCGAAAUGCAGUGGCGACCUCGCCGCAGCCUCCCCUGCGUAGUAGCACACACCUCGCACCGGAGCGCGGAGACGGUCACGCCGUAAAACGCCCAACUUCUUAGAGUUGACCUCGGAUCAGGUAGGAAUACCCGCUGAACUUAAGCAUAUCAAUAAGCGGAGA